RNAcentral lists this ribosomal RNA (394 nucleotides) under uncultured bacterium. RNAcentral's name for it is "bacterial SSU rRNA". It matches the Rfam family "Bacterial small subunit ribosomal RNA", at positions 30 to 424 of the family's 1533-position model. The record is from RNAcentral.
AUUGAACGCUGGCGGCAUGCCUUACACAUGCAAGUCGAACGGCAGCACGGGAGCUUGCUCCUGGUGGCGAGUGGCGAACGGGUGAGUAAUGCAUCGGAACGUGCCCUGAAGUGGGGGAUAACGUAGCGAAAGUUACGCUAAUACCGCAUAUUCUGUGAGCAGGAAAGCAGGGGAUCUUCGGACCUUGCGCUUUUGGAGCGGCCGAUGUCGGAUUAGCUAGUUGGUGGGGUAAAGGCUCACCAAGGCGACGAUCCGUAGCGGGUCUGAGAGGAUGAUCCGCCACACUGGGACUGAGACACGGCCCAGACUCCUACGGGAGGCAGCAGUGGGGAAUUUUGGACAAUGGGCGGAAGCCUGAUCCAGCCAUGCCGCGUGAGUGAAGAAGGCCUCGGUU